This 1005-nucleotide ribosomal RNA is filed under the name human gut metagenome. RNAcentral describes it as "bacterial LSU rRNA". It matches the Rfam family "Bacterial large subunit ribosomal RNA", at positions 1919 to 2925 of the family's 2925-position model. The record is from RNAcentral.
CCCAGUAAACGGCGGCCGUAACUAUAACGGUCCUAAGGUAGCGAAAUUCCUUGUCGGGUAAGUUCCGACCCGCACGAAAGGCGUAAUGAUUUGAGCGCUGUCUCGACAAUGCAUCCGGUGAAAUUGAAGUACCAGUGAAGAUGCUGGUUACCUGCGCCAGGACGGAAAGACCCCAUGGAGCUUUACUCCAGUCUGGUACUGGGACUCGGUAUUGCAUGUACAGGAUAGGUGGGAGGCUAGGAGAUGGUAACGCCAGUUGCCAUGGAGCCGCUGUUGGGAUACCACCCUUGCAGUAUUGGGUUUCUAACCAGCCGCCGUGACCCGGCGGUGGGACAAUGCCAGACGGGGAGUUUGACUGGGGCGGUCGCCUCCGAAAGGGUAUCGGAGGCGCCCAAAGGUUCCCUCAGAAUGGACGGAAACCAUUCGAAGAGUGCAAAGGCAGAAGGGAGCUUGACUGCGACACCGACGGGUGGAGCAGGUACGAAAGUAGGACUUAGUGAUCCGGUGGUAUAAAGUGGGAUUGCCAUCGCUCAACGGAUAAAAGCUACCCUGGGGAUAACAGGCUUAUCACUCCCAAGAGUUCACAUCGACGGAGUGGUUUGGCACCUCGAUGUCGGCUCAUCGCAUCCUGGGGCUGUAGUAGGUCCCAAGGGUUGGGCUGUUCGCCCAUUAAAGCGGUACGCGAGCUGGGUUCAGAACGUCGUGAGACAGUUCGGUCCCUAUCCGGCGUGGGCGUAGGAUAUCUGAGAGGAGCUGUCCUUAGUACGAGAGGACCGGGAUGGACGGGCCGCUGGUGCAUCGGUUAGACUGCCAAGUCUACGGCCGAGUAGCCAAGCCCGGAAGGGAUAAACGCUGAAGGCAUCUAAGCGUGAAGCCCCCCUUAAGAUGAGAUAUCCCAUUCGAAAGAAGUAAACCCCCUUGAAGACGACGAGGUAGAUAGGGCAGAGGUGGAAGUGCAGCAAUGCAUGGAGCUGACUGUUACUAAUCGGGUGAGGGCUUGACCAA